This 437-nucleotide ribosomal RNA is filed under the name uncultured Syntrophaceae bacterium. RNAcentral's name for it is "bacterial SSU rRNA". It matches the Rfam family "Bacterial small subunit ribosomal RNA", at positions 948 to 1382 of the family's 1533-position model. The record is from RNAcentral. Lineage: Bacteria; Pseudomonadati; Thermodesulfobacteriota; Syntrophia; Syntrophales; Syntrophaceae.
AAUUCGAUGCAACGCGAAGAACCUUACCUGGGCUUGACAUCCCGAGAAUUCCCCUGGAAACAGGGAAGUGCCCUCACGGGAACUCGGAGACAGGUGCUGCAUGGCUGUCGUCAGCUCGUGUCGUGAGAUGUUGGGUUAAGUCCCGCAACGAGCGCAACCCUUGUCUUUAAUUGCCAUCAUUCAGUUGGGCACUUUAAAGAGACUGCCGGUGUUAAACCGGAGGAAGGUGGGGAUGACGUCAAGUCCUCACGGCCUUUAUGCCCAGGGCUACACACGUGCUACAAUGGGUGGUACAAAGAGAAGCAAACUCGCGAGAGCAAGCCAAUCUCAAAAAGCCAUCCUCAGUUCGGAUUGGAGUCUGCAACUCGACCCCAUGAAGUCGGAAUCGCUAGUAAUCGCGGAUCAGCAUGCCCGCGGUCGAAUACGUUCCGGGCCUU